Molecule: ribosomal RNA, 492 nt
Filed under: uncultured bacterium
Lineage: Bacteria
Description: partial 16S ribosomal RNA
Rfam family: Bacterial small subunit ribosomal RNA
Source: RNAcentral
AGUGAACGCUGGCGGUAGGCCUAACACAUGCAAGUCGAACGGCAGCACAGUAAGAGCUUGCUCUUACGGGUGGCGAGUGGCGGACGGGUGAGGAAUACAUCGGAAUCUACUUUUUCGUGGGGGGUAACGUAGGGUAACUUACGCUAAUACCGCAUACGACCUACGGGUGAAAGCAGGGGAUCUUCGGACCUUGCGCGAUUGAAUGAGCCGAUGUCGGAUUAGCUAGUUGGCGGGGUAAAGGCCCACCAAGGCGACGAUCCGUAGCUGGUCUGAGAGGAUGUUCAGCCACACUGGAACUGAGACACGGUCCAGACUCCUACGGGAGGCAGCAGUGGGGAAUAUUGGACAAUGGGCGCAAGCCUGAUCCAGCCAUACCGCGUGGGCGAAGAAGGCCUUCGGGUUGUAAAGCCCUUUUGUUGGGAAAGAAAAGCAGCAGGUUAAUACCCCGCUGUUCUGACGGUACCCAAAGAAUAAGCACCGGCUAACUUCGUG